Molecule: transfer RNA, 76 nt
Filed under: Arthrobacter saudimassiliensis
Lineage: Bacteria; Bacillati; Actinomycetota; Actinomycetes; Micrococcales; Micrococcaceae
Description: tRNA-Lys
Rfam family: tRNA
About the family: Transfer RNA (tRNA) molecules are approximately 80 nucleotides in length.
Source: RNAcentral
GCCCCCAUAGCUCAGCUGGUCAGAGCAACCGACUUUUAAUCGGUGGGUCGCAGGUUCGAACCCUGCUGGGGGCACC